CGUGCCUAACACAUGCAAGUCGAGCGAAGCACUUUGCUUAGAUUCUUCGGAUGAAGAGGAUUGUGACUGAGCGGCGGACGGGUGAGUAACGCGUGGGUAACCUGCCUCAUACAGGGGGAUAACAGUUAGAAAUGACUGCUAAUACCGCAUAAGACCACAGCACCGCAUGGUGCAGGGGUAAAAACUCCGGUGGUAUGAGAUGGACCCGCGUCUGAUUAGCUAGUUGGUAAGGUAACGGCUUACCAAGGCGACGAUCAGUAGCCGACCUGAGAGGGUGACCGGCCACAUUGGGACUGAGACACGGCCCAAACUCCUACGGGAGGCAGCAGUGGGGAAUAUUGCACAAUGGGGGAAACCCUGAUGCAGCGACGCCGCGUGAGCGAAGAAGUAUUUCGGUAUGUAAAGCUCUAUCAGCAGGGAAGAAAAUGACGGUACCUGACUAAGAAGCACCGGCUAAAUACGUGCCAGCAGCCGCGGUAAUACGUAUGGUGCAAGCGUUAUCCGGAUUUACUGGGUGUAAAGGGAGCGUAGACGGAUGGGCAAGUCUGAUGUGAAAACCCGGGGCUCAACCCCGGGACUGCAUUGGAAACUGUUCAUCUAGAGUGCUGGAGAGGUAAGUGGAAUUCCUAGUGUAGCGGUGAAAUGCGUAGAUAUUAGGAGGAACACCAGUGGCGAAGGCGGCUUACUGGACAGUAACUGACGUUGAGGCUCG
RNAcentral lists this ribosomal RNA (712 nucleotides) under uncultured Lachnospiraceae bacterium. RNAcentral's name for it is "bacterial SSU rRNA". It matches the Rfam family "Bacterial small subunit ribosomal RNA", at positions 43 to 755 of the family's 1533-position model. Lineage: Bacteria; Bacillati; Bacillota; Clostridia; Lachnospirales; Lachnospiraceae. The record is from RNAcentral.